UACCAGCACCCCGAGUGGUCGGGACGUUUAUUGGGCCUAAAGCAUCCGUAGCCGGUUCUACAAGUCUUCCGUUAAAUCCACCUGCUUAACAGAUGGGCUGCGGAAGAUACUAUAGGGCUAGGAGGCGGGAGAGGCAAGCGGUACUCGAUGGGUAGGGGUAAAAUCCGUUGAUCCAUUGAAGACCACCAGUGGCGAAGGCGGCUUGCCAGAACGCGCUCGACGGUGAGGGAUGAAAGCUGGGGGAGCAAACCGG
Molecule: ribosomal RNA, 253 nt
Filed under: uncultured bacterium
Lineage: Bacteria
Description: partial 16S ribosomal RNA
Rfam family: Archaeal small subunit ribosomal RNA
Source: RNAcentral